Anguilla anguilla (European eel) is the source of this 4994-nucleotide long non-coding RNA. RefSeq lists it as uncharacterized. NCBI's taxonomy places the organism in Eukaryota, Metazoa, Chordata, Actinopteri, Anguilliformes, Anguillidae. The record is from RefSeq and is a predicted model, not a curated record. The transcript is spliced from 2 exons.
AAAAUCGUGUGUCCCACCGGUGUAUUUAUACACAGUUGGAUGAAACCGAAAUGCAUCGGGCAAGACAACCGUAAAUGUAAUCAGUAGCACAUUUAGAGCGACCCCAGCGAGUACCGUUAGAAUGUUAAGACUAUACUUUCAGGGAUCAUUUCUAUAGUUUGCAACUGAGAAAUGCGUUUCGAAAGUGUUUGGUCUCGCUACCCACGAUGACGAGGUAAUGCAUCCACUUCUGAGCGCGAAGCGGAUAGAGAGUGUUGAUUUAAAUCAAUCGCUUUCUAUCAUUGAUGACCGUUCCGAUUCUGAAAAGAAUACGGAGGUAGGGGAUGCGUUCCGAGUGGUUAGCCUGUUUGUGGUCGAAAAAUGAGUUUCAAAUGUCUAUUGCGUUUUGAUUGAUAAUCUAAUGAACUUGUUUUGUUGAAUCAUGUAUGUUGAAAGAUUAGUUAUGGGUACGUGGCGAAGGAAAUACACUUUCAAGUAAGACUCGUCUAAUUAAUAGAUGAAGGUUUUAACUUUAGCUACGCAUUAAGAUACUUUUUUUACUUAUCAGUAUCUUGAUUGAUACUAUGAUUACAUAAAUCAGGUUGUGUGGUUCUGGGCUCAAACAAAAACCUGUACACGCCCUUUUCGGAUAAGACAUGGAUCUCCAACCCGGUUGCUGAAGUUCUACGGUAGAUUUUCGUUUCAAGCCGGGAUACACCUGAGUCCUAACUAACUAACAAGCAGCUUCACGAGAUCUCUAGCUGUUGAAUGGGGUGCGCUUAGGGUUGGGUUGGACUAAAACCCUACAGGAUUGUAGAUCUCCAGGAACAGGGUUGGCCACCUCUGGUCUAAAAGUACUACAGCUUUGCAUAUAAAGCAAAGUGUACUCCCCACAUCAUGACAUCUAUUGCUGAAUGUUAACUACAAAUUAACUGCAAUAUAUGAAUGAGUUUAUUGUUUCCCUGACUAUGCACGGGACUUUAAAAUGUUGGCCAGCCAAUGCUGCUGAUAAAAAUGUUUAUUUGUAGUAUAUGCGUUGCGUGCAGUACAAUGAUGAAAGCUACUAGUUAUCAGCAAAAGGAAGCUGAUGAUUUUGAAUUAUUUUCAUAUCUUGAAUUAAGCUUUCCCAGCGCAAUUCUUACUGGGAAAUACCUAACCACAUGCAGUUAUAAUUUUAAACCACUGCGGGGCGUAAAAGGCCUUGCGUCAAUCGUUUGUCACGGCGGAAAUAUAAAUACCUCUGAUGAAACUUUUGGUGGAAUUGUGUUUACAUUUGAUUACAUCCGCUUUAGAAGCGCACGAUUAGAAAGCCUACGAUUCCUGCACCUUUUAAACGCUUACAGACAAAACUGCCAAACUGUCAUGCAUUUUCACUUUGGCUAAAUAAACUCCCUCAGUAUUAACACACAGCUGGUUUGGAGUGAGUUGCCAAUUGAAUUAGAAUGUGUCAAAGCAUGGAUAGCACACGAACCAAAAUAGUGUGCGCACUGCUGUGUUUAUAGAGUUUGGUGAAACCGUCAGGGCAUCAGUCAGGGCAACCGUAGGUGAAACCAGUUGAUACUUUAAAGGGUCCUGACGAGUAACAUGACUAAAUUAAGACUAUACUUUCAGGGAUCAUUUCUAUAGUUUACAACUGAGAAAUGCGUUUCGAGAGUGUUUGGUCUCGCUACCCACAAUGACGAGGUAAUGCGUCCUCUUCUGAGCGCGAAGCGGAUAGAGAGUAUUGAUUUUGAUCAAUCGCUCUCUGUCUUUGAUGACCGUUCCGAUUCUGUGAAGAAUUUGGAAGAAGGGGAUGCGUUCUGAGUGGUUACUUUACUAACGGUUGAAGAUUAUUUAUAUAAUAUGUGAGUUAUAUUAUAAUGGAGAUAUAUCGAUACUGUACUAUGUUUUAGUUACCAAUAUUUAGUGUUUAUACCAAAGGCGAUUUAAAGGUGCAGUGUGUAGAAUUUAGUGGCAUCUAGCGGAACGGACUUGGCAUAAAUGGAAAAUAAUAUUCAUAAGUAGGCUAUGUUUUAAUUAGUGUAUAAUACCAUGAAAAUAAGAAUCGUUGUGUUUCCGUUAUCUUAAAAUGAGCCCUUUAUAUCUACAUAGGGAGCGGCAGUGUUGGGGAAGCUACUUUGAAAGCAUAGCUUUGCAAGCUACCAAUUACUUCACAGUGGAAGAAGUUGAACUACAGCAAAGCUACCCUAGGGAGAAAUCUAGUUUGGUUAACUAAAGCUACUUAGAAAAAGCAGUUUAAACUACUUCGUAAAAAAAUGAUCAAAUUGACAAUGUACAUGUGAUAUGAUAUUAUAACAGAAUAUAAUACAAAAAAGUCACAUACCAGCAAAAAAUGCCACUCAAUUGACUUUAUUGCAAAAUGUGCCCACUUGUUCAAGCUGUGCAGGAACUGCGGCGAGCUAAGUCACUUAGCCGCAGCCUGCACAGUGGUUAAGUGUUGAACUUGUGGAGGUGAACACGAGACCAGCGCAUGCUGUGACCCCAAGCCCUGUAAUCUGUGCGGAGCGAGGGGACAUCUGUACCGAGACUGCCCCCUCUCAUACGCCAACAGGGCUAGGGACACCGCGCCCCCACCACCACCAUCGUACUCUAUUCCCCCCCAUCCCCCCACUCUAAUCCCAAGAGCAGACCUCAAAGAGCAAUCUCAGACUGAUGCACAACUUUCCUCACAAUGCACUACACAGGAGUCCCUAGUCACUAGUAACACUGCUCCCCCCUCAAACCAAAGCCCCCUACAUAACACAACCGGCUACUAACACUGUCACCAUUAAAGAGGAGCCAGACUCUGAUACCCCCAUCAGAUAUCGAUUUAAGUUCAUGUUCUAACCUGUCAUUUAUUUUGAGCCUACACAACUGAAAACCUUUUUAUUGUUAUGAUUAAGCUUUAAAAAUGUUUUGCACCUUUUGUACGUAAACAUAGUUGCCACGGCUCAGAAAGGUGAAAAAAAACAUUUACGCUCGACACUAUAAAAAGGUGUGCUGCAUGUCUGCAGUUCUAUGCACUGAGAGCAGCCUGUGGCAGUGUGGGAACAUCGUUGUCAAUCAUGAGCCCCUUUCACACAUGGAACCUGUAGCGUUGCUGUGUCAACAUUGCAGUUCAUCUUUAAAAGCAGCCAGUUUCACUGAAUAUUAGCCUUAGCAAAGAUAUUAAUGCCACCAGCACAAUACAGUUGAGGAGUGAUAGUUUUAAGAUAACUAAUGGCAACAUUUCUAACCAAUGUCGCACAUUUAUAUGACCCCAAAAAGCUCAUGUUAGGUAAAAAAUGGAAGCAUGCUUAUCAGCUAAAAAUCAUUUAACCUAUUUGUACGCGCAGUUGUUUUUGGUACAAUGCAGCGAAAAUUAUUCGGUCAGCAAGGUUAAAUAGCUGACUAUAUCUGCCAUUAAUAUGUGAUGAUAGCCAGCUUGCUAAAUUGGGUAACAAAACAACUUAACACUAGAAGAAGCAUACCAGGGAGAAGUAUAGCAUAGCAGGCAAGCAUUUUGGUAAUGGUGCUCUCAAAACAGACAAAGCCAUGUGGAGUAAGGACAGUGGCUCUGUUCGUUCCAUAUCGAAAAUGACACAGCAGACGUGCAGUAUCUUCGAAAUUGCGAUGUCUCGUAUUUGUGCAAGAAUUGUUGAGAGGGUAAACGCAUUAAAGUAUUUUUUAAAGAAACUGUUGCAAUUUUACUCAAGUCCGACAUACUUUAGCAUGCUUUGUGCAGAACUUGUGCUGCUUCUGCUCCCACCAGAGCCCUGGUGGAAGAUUUCUGUCCAUCCUACCAGGCCCAGCCCCGGCAAAUCCGAGGAAUGCUGCAAACUGUGUGGCCGAAAUAGCUCAGCUGGGAGAGCGUUAGACUGAAGAUCUGAAGGUCCCUGGUUCGAUCCCGGGUUUCGGCAAUGGGAGCUGUGUCCUCUUUUGAUGAGUAGAGCUGAGCCCUCUGCCUGAGUUUACCGACUGCUCACCCUCCUGCUUAAGCUACCGAUUUCACAGAGUGAAAUCAAGUUCUAAGAUUUGUACAGUUUAAACAUUUAGGAUUGUCGGGCCUUCGUGCGACCAAGUUCCUGAGAUGUGGACCUGCACGAAAAGCCAUGUGCGGCAGUGUGGGAACAUCGCUGUCAAUCAUCAUUUGUACUGUUGCUGAUUACUUACUGGGGAGGGGCAAUGAGAGAACCGACUGUAGAAGGCUCUAUUGACUUUUUGCUGAGGCAUGAUUCAAUUGCAGAUGAGAAAACGGCCCGAGAUAAACUGGUUUCCCUUCUCACUUGGGGUCCGUCCCAAUACUCAAAAACUGUAUACUCCUUUCCUCCACUACCACCUCUUUUUUGUGCCCCAGAGACCGAUCAUUGUGUCCUUCCUAUUUCCAAUGACCCAAUAUCGGAUGAGACUAGCGAAACAGCUUCAGACUCUGCUUCUCGUCACCUCCCGGCAAAGGAUACAUCUAUUUGUCCUACCGCGGAAGUCUUUCACAUUUCGGUCUGACGCGAUCGUGCUCACGCCCACAGAGAUUGAAAGACCAUCCCACCGAAUCGGACACUAUCCAAACUUUAGAAAGCGGAGAUUGCGGAGAACCUGACUGUCCAAAGGAUGUGUUUAUUGCCACAAAACUUGAUUUCAAGAUGUUACGGUGGGUAAUAAAACUUUCUCUGUGUGAACACUGACAUAUGAAGGGGUGAGAAACAUCGACCUUGAUGACAGAGAAAGAAAUAAUCUGUAAUUUUGUCUUCACACCCCUUCCCCCUCUCCUUUCCUUCCUGAGUCUCCCCCCGUAGGUGAAACCAGUUGAUACUUUAAAGGGUCCUGACGAGUAACAUGACUAAAUUAAGACUAUACUUUCAGGGAUCAUUUCUAUAGUUUACAACUGAGAAAUGCGUUUCGAGAGUGUUUGGUCUCGCUACCCACAAUGACGAGGUAAUGCGUCCUCUUCUGAGCGCGAAGCGGAUAGAGAGUAUUGAUUUUGAUCAAUCGCUCUCUGUCUUUGAUGACCGUUCCGAUUCUGUGAAGAAUUUGGAAGAAGGGGAUGCGUUCUGAGUGGU